Molecule: ribosomal RNA, 468 nt
Filed under: uncultured bacterium
Lineage: Bacteria
Description: partial 16S ribosomal RNA
Rfam family: Bacterial small subunit ribosomal RNA
Source: RNAcentral
GACGAACGCUGGCGGCGUGCUUAACACAUGCAAGUCGAACGGAAAGGCCCUGCUUUUGUGGGGUGCUCGAGUGGCGAACGGGUGAGUAACACGUGAGUAACCUGCCCUUGACUUUCUGAUAACUUCAGGAAACUGGGGCUAAUACCGGAUAGGAGCUCCUGCUGCAUGGUGGGGGUUGGAAAGAUUCGGCGGUUGGGGAUGGACUCGCGGCUUAUCAGCUUGUUGGUGGGGUAGUGGCUUACCAAGGCUGUGACGGGUAGCCGGCCUGAGAGGGUGACCGGCCACAUUGGGACUGAGAUACGGCCCAGACUCCUACGGGAGGCAGCAGUGGGGAAUAUGGCACAAUGGGCGGAAGCGUGAUGCAGCAACGCCGCGUGCGGGAUGACGGCCUUCGGGUUGUGAACCGCUUUCGAAUGUGACGAGGCGUGAGUGACGGUAAUGGGUAAAGAAGCACCGGCUAACUACGUG